AGUAAGUCCUGGGGCAGAAAGGCACCCCUUGCCGAUUCUCCUUCCUGCUCAGUGGCCUUGUAAACCCUCUGGGGAUUGGCUUUGGAGGGUUUCUCUGUACAGCCCUGGUUGUCCUGGAACCCACUCUGUAGACCAAUCCGGCCUUGAUCUCAGAGAUCCGCCUGCGUCUGCCUCCUGAGUGCUGGGAUUACAGGUCUGCAGCAGCAAAGUCACCUGACUGAUGCCCCUCCCUCUCCAUGCUUACCCAGGGCCCGUGUUCAUGCUCAACAAUUGCUGUACUGCCGAGCUGUGCCCAGAGCCCAGGAAGCCUUCCGGCUGCUGCCUGCCCUCUCCUGGGAACCUCAGCUCAAGGACGAUGUCUGCAUCCCUGCUCUUUAUUAUCUCUGGUGCCUGAGGAGUGCCUAGCAGCACAGGUCAAAGAAGAAAGGUAGCCUAAAGGGUCUGAGAAGAGACUGUCUUGUAAGACUCCGGUGGACACCGAAAUCUGCAGAUGCUCGAGCCCCUUACAUAAAAUAUAGAGCAUCUGCACAGCACUUGGGCACAUCUGCUCACAUACUUGAAAUUGUUUCCAGAUAGCUUAUAGCACCUGGUUUAAUGUAAACAUUGGUGGGGCAGUUUAUACCUGUAGUCUCAGGACUCAGAAGGCCAAGGCCAAAGAUCAUGUGUCCAAGACCAGCAUAGACCACGAAAGAGACCCUGUUUCACAACCAAAGUAAGAGCAAAACCAUUAUAAAUGUUGGGGAAUAAAGUUCCUUCUGCAG
Molecule: long non-coding RNA, 761 nt
Organism: Rattus norvegicus (Norway rat)
Lineage: Eukaryota; Metazoa; Chordata; Mammalia; Rodentia; Muridae
Source: RefSeq, a predicted model, not a curated record